AGAUGGCAUGUUUCAAGAUGUUGAAGAAAUUAUUAGAAGGCAAAUAAAUAUGUCAGUACUUCCAAGUGUUCAACCUUUCCAUGCCAUUGCUUAUCCUAUUGAUCCAUUGCUUGCUUUGGAAAUAAGCAGUAAAUAUGCGGCCCACUGUUCCUUGAUUGCCUCUCCUUUUGGGCUGCCGCCUUUUGUGCAUCCACCUCCUGUUCCUGUAAAAGCAGAGGGUAAACACUGCCGAUUAAAGUAGGAUAUGUGAGUAGUGAUUUUGGAAAUCACCCCCUUUCCCAUCUCAUGAGAUCAGUAUUUGGAAUGCAUGAUCGUGCCAAUAUCGAGGUCUUUUGCUAUGCACACAGUCAAAACGAUGGUACUGAGUGGAGGCAGCGUAUUCAGUCUGAGGCAGAACAUUUUGUCGAUGUUUCUGUCAUGACUUCCGAUAAUAUCGCCAAGCUUAUCAAUCAAGACAAAAUACAGAUUUUGAUAAAUCUUAAUGGCUAC
Molecule: long non-coding RNA, 489 nt
Organism: Zea mays
Lineage: Eukaryota; Viridiplantae; Streptophyta; Magnoliopsida; Poales; Poaceae
Exons: 5
Source: RefSeq, a predicted model, not a curated record